UCCACCGAUUGACUAAGGUUUCCAGAGGAAGGCUCGUCCGCUCUGGGUUAGUCGGGUCCUAAGCUGAGGCCGACAGGCGUAGGCGAUGGAUAACAGGUUGAUAUUCCUGUACCACCUAUAAUCGUUUUAAUCGAUGGGGGGACGCAGUAGGAUAGGCGAAGCGUGCGAUUGGAUUGCACGUCUAAGCAGUAAGGCUGAGUAUUAGGCAAAUCCGGUACUCGUUAAGGCUGAGCUGUGAUGGGGAGAAGACAUUGUGUCUUCGAGUCGUUGAUUUCACACUGCCGAGAAAAGCCUCUAGAUAGAAAAUAGGUGCCCGUACCGCAAACCGACACAGGUAGUCAAGAUGAGAAUUCUAAGGUGAGCGAGCGAACUCUCGUUAAGGAACUCGGCAAAAUGACCCCGUAACUUCGGGAGAAGGGGUGCUCUUUAGGGUUAACGCCCAGAAGAGCCGCAGUGAAUAGGCCCAAGCGACUGUUUAUCAAAAACACAGGUCUCUGCUAAACCGUAAGGUGAUGUAUAGGGGCUGACGCCUGCCCGGUGCUGGAAGGUUAAGAGGAGUGGUUAGCUUCUGCGAAGCUACGAAUCGAAGCCCCAGUAAACGGCGGCCGUAACUAUAACGGUCCUAAGGUAGCGAAAUUCCUUGUCGGGUAAGUUCCGACCCGCACGAAAGGCGUAACGAUUUGGGCACUGUCUCAACGAGAGACUCGGUGAAAUCAUAGUACCUGUGAAGAUGCAGGUUACCCGCGACAGGACGGAAAGACCCCGUGGAGCUUUACUGUAGCCUGAUAUUGAAAUUCGGCACAGCUUGUACAGGAUAGGUAGGAG
RNAcentral lists this ribosomal RNA (825 nucleotides) under Staphylococcus aureus. RNAcentral's name for it is "partial 23S ribosomal RNA". It matches the Rfam family "Bacterial large subunit ribosomal RNA", at positions 1333 to 2153 of the family's 2925-position model. The record is from RNAcentral. Lineage: Bacteria; Bacillati; Bacillota; Bacilli; Caryophanales; Staphylococcaceae.